Molecule: long non-coding RNA, 491 nt
Filed under: Monodelphis domestica (gray short-tailed opossum)
Lineage: Eukaryota; Metazoa; Chordata; Mammalia; Didelphimorphia; Didelphidae
Description: lncRNA (ENSMODG00000040936.1)
Source: RNAcentral
GACGCCAGCCCUCAUCAGCCUCUUCCUGUGCAGAGCUGGCUCCUGCACUUCCCCUUCCCCCUCCUCCAGCUCUGGCGUCUCAAAUUAAGCCCGCGGCUCGAGGGUGGCGCUGAUUGGCUGAAGGAGAUUUGGAGACAGACCGGAAGACCCCACGCUGAGGGAGACCCGAACUGCCUUCGGCUGGGCAGAGGAGGGAACCUUAUCCAGUUGGGGUCUGGGACUCUCUCCAUAAGAAAAGAAAAGAGUGUUAAGUUGAUGAAGCCAAGGUCCCAAGUUGGAGGGGAGAAGCUACUCAAUUGAGAGUACAUCCAGAGGACAGACUGAGUACAAAACAAACAAAUAAGGACAUAGACACAGAAGGUUACAAACAAAAACUACCUUCAAGCAGAAGUGACCCUCAUCUGCAGAGAAGAAUUCCAUUUAUGAACUCAAGGAAGAACUUCAAAUAACCAGGUUGGCCAGAAAGGAAAAAUGCAGUGACAGGCUGGCUA